RNAcentral lists this ribosomal RNA (253 nucleotides) under uncultured bacterium. RNAcentral describes it as "partial 16S ribosomal RNA". It matches the Rfam family "Bacterial small subunit ribosomal RNA", at positions 524 to 776 of the family's 1533-position model. The record is from RNAcentral.
UACGGGGGGUGCGAGCGUUGUUCGGAAUUACUGGGCGUAAAGGGUUCGUAGGUGGCCAACUAAGUCAGACGUGAAAUCCCUCAGCUUAACUGGGGAACUGCGUCUGAGACUGGAUGGCUUGAAUCCGGGAGAGGGAUGCGGAAUUCCAGGUGUAGCGGUGAAAUGCGUAGAUAUCUGGAGGAACACCGGUGGCGAAGGCGGCAUCCUGGACCGGCAUUGACGCUGAUGAGCGAAAGCCAGGGGAGCAAACGGG